RNAcentral lists this ribosomal RNA (406 nucleotides) under uncultured bacterium. RNAcentral describes it as "partial 16S ribosomal RNA". It matches the Rfam family "Bacterial small subunit ribosomal RNA", at positions 30 to 526 of the family's 1533-position model. The record is from RNAcentral.
AUUGAACGCUGGCGGCAGGCCUAACACAUGCAAGUCGAACGAGUGGCGGACGGGUGAGUAAUGUCUGGGAAACUGCACGAUGGAGGGGGAUAACUACUGGAAACGGUAGCUAAUACCGCAUACCAUCGGAUGUGCCCAGAUGGGAUUAGCUAGUAGGUGGGGUACCGGCUCACCUAGGCGACGAUCCCUAGCUGGUCUGAGAGGAUGACCAUCCACACUGUAACUGGUACACGGUCCAGACUCCUACGGGGUGCAGCAGGGGGGAAUAUUGCACAAUGGGCGCAAGCCUGAUGCAGCCAUGCCGCGUGUAUGAAGAAGGCCUUCGGGUUGUAAAGGACUUUCAGCGAGGAGGCGUUACUCGCAGAAGAAGCACCGGCUAACUCCGGGCCAGCAGCCGCGGUAAUUC